RNAcentral lists this ribosomal RNA (467 nucleotides) under uncultured Enterobacteriaceae bacterium. RNAcentral's name for it is "bacterial SSU rRNA". It matches the Rfam family "Bacterial small subunit ribosomal RNA", at positions 914 to 1382 of the family's 1533-position model. The record is from RNAcentral. Lineage: Bacteria; Pseudomonadati; Pseudomonadota; Gammaproteobacteria; Enterobacterales; Enterobacteriaceae.
CGGGGGCCCGCACAAGCGGUGGAGCAUGUGGUUUAAUUCGAUGCAACGCGAAGAACCUUACCUGGUCUUGACAUCCACAGAACUUUCCAGAGAUGGAUUGGUGCCUUCGGGAACUGUGAGACAGGUGCUGCAUGGCUGUCGUCAGCUCGUGUUGUGAAAUGUUGGGUUAAGUCCCGCAACGAGCGCAACCCUUAUCCUUUGUUGCCAGCGGUCCGGCCGGGAACUCAAAGGAGACUGCCAGUGAUAAACUGGAGGAAGGUGGGAUGACGUCAAGUCAUCAUGGCCCUUACGACCAGGGCUACACACGUGCUACAAUGGCGCAUACAAAGAGAAGCGACCUCGCGAGAGCAAGCGGACCUCAUAAAGUGCGUCGUAGUCCGGAUUGGAGUCUGCAACUCGACUCCAUGAAGUCGGAAUCGCUAGUAAUCGUGGAUCAGAAUGCCACGGUGAAUACGUUCCCGGGCCUU